AAAGUCGUAACAAGGUUUCCGUAGGUGAACCUGCGGAAGGAUCAUUACAGUGCCAGCGGGUGCGUUCGCGGCCGUCCUCCCAAAGGGGGCGUGCCCGGCGCCCUGCGACCGGCCCCACACUUGUCUACAGACCGUGUUGCCUCGGCGGGCCCGCUGCUAAUGCGGCCGCCGGGGGGGACUCACAUCCCCCCUGGCCAGCGCCCGCCCGAGGACCGAUCGAAAUAUCUUUAAUGAACAGAGUUGCUGUCUGAGCGAUAAUCGCAAAUGAAUCAAAACUUUCAACAAUGGAUCUCUUGGUUCCG
This 302-nucleotide unclassified non-coding RNA is filed under the name Ascomycota sp. RNAcentral describes it as "partial contains small subunit ribosomal RNA, internal transcribed spacer 1, and 5.8S ribosomal RNA". The stretch from base 1 to 47 matches the Rfam family "Eukaryotic small subunit ribosomal RNA", at positions 1785 to 1831 of the family's 1831-position model. Lineage: Eukaryota; Fungi; Ascomycota. The record is from RNAcentral.